CCAGAGUGCAAGUUCUGGAUAGUUGGUAUCCAUAUUUAUUUUACUACAGCUGACUGAGAAUACUUCCCAUCCUAUAAUAGCAGCUGGCUUUUAAGGCAGUGCAUUUUCAUUUUGAAUCUGCAUUCAGUAAAUAGCAUGAGUAGUUUGGGUCAAAUAAUUAUACUAUGCCUGUAAUAAGGGUACACGCAUGUUGGUGAGCAAACUAUAUAACAAUUUCUAUUUGUCAUUUGAUGCAGUUUGCAUCAUAAGAGCAUAAAAACGAGUACCCAAAGUUCUUCCUUCUACUUAGCAUUCAUCAACUGAGCACCACACUGCAAUGUAAUAUUUUUUUCAUAUGAAUCACACAGCUUAUACUAUCUGGCUUCUUUAUGUCACUAGCUAACUCAUAGAAUAUUUGGAAUCCUUGUAAUAGCAUGUGGCUGCAAUUUAUUUAUUGCAAUUAUAACAAUUAGCAACUGGGAAAAUGUUCUGUACAACGUAUGUGACAUAAUGUCAAAAUCCAGCCUCUUCACAAAUCAAAUGAAAGUUUAAAUAGCACAGCAGUACACAUCUUUCCUGUUUCCCUGUACCUGAAUGGUAUUAUCCAGGAUUGCCACUUUCAACCUGGUGCUUUCCAACAUGUAUUGGAUUAAAAUGCCGGUGUUUGUCUGGGAUGGAGGGAAAAACCUUUGGGGCAGAUUGAAGAGGCUGGCUCAGACCCAGGUUCUUUAAAUUUAUGAGAAACAGGCUCACUUAUUACAGUGUGGCACAUACUGUGAACAUCACGUGUAGUUCACCAGGCCAUAUUCAGACACUUGUCAUUUUGCUGGGCAGGGCCUCCCAAAGCAUUAAGCCUGCAGCAAUUGCACACAUGCUCCAAUCUACAUAUGGGAUACACACGUUCUUACACGGAAGUGACUCUCCUUGUAGGAACUGGAUCAGGUUGCUCCUCUCGUUGGAAGUACAGGGCAGAGUUUCACAAGUCUUGGAAAAGAGAUACCGAGAUGACAGAGGAAAGCUUUCAUGCGUUGCCUUGAAUAUAAAUGGUUGGUAGAAUAGAAUUAAAUAAACGUCAGUUUAGGCUUACUUUCAAUCUUGCUGUGAAUUGUAGAAAGUUAAGUUUUGGGAUAUACUUUAGAGAUCAUCUUGACCAGC
This 1134-nucleotide long non-coding RNA is filed under the name Laticauda laticaudata (blue-ringed sea krait). RNAcentral describes it as "lncRNA (ENSLLTG00000008260.1)". The record is from RNAcentral. Lineage: Eukaryota; Metazoa; Chordata; Lepidosauria; Squamata; Elapidae.